UGUGAAGUGUGCAUGUGCAUGUAUGUCUGUGUACAUACAUACAUACAUACACACAUAAUACAAAACCAAAAACCAAACCCACUG
Molecule: microRNA precursor, 84 nt
Filed under: Procavia capensis (Cape rock hyrax)
Lineage: Eukaryota; Metazoa; Chordata; Mammalia; Hyracoidea; Procaviidae
Description: miRNA (ENSPCAG00000019566.1)
Source: RNAcentral